This 339-nucleotide long non-coding RNA is filed under the name Gossypium raimondii (Peruvian cotton). RNAcentral's name for it is "long non-coding RNA (GRAI_LNC008132)". Lineage: Eukaryota; Viridiplantae; Streptophyta; Magnoliopsida; Malvales; Malvaceae. The record is from RNAcentral.
UGGGGUUUGUGCUUGGCAAAUAUUUUCAUUUAUAGAACGGGAAGAAAGGAAGGAAGGAAGCAGGUAUUUUUUGUUUUAUAGGUUAUGAAUAUUAUUAUUUAUUUUACAAUGGUUCCAUUGUGUUGAUUUUAUUGAGAUUUUUAUUUUAUAGAAAGGGUGUUUUAAAGAAAGGAAGCAUGUAUGUUUCUUUUUUUUUUUAAUAUUUGCUUUUUAGAUGCAAAUAACAUAUGGUCCCAUUGAGUUUUUUUUUUUUUUGAUAGUUUGUUUUGUAGAAAGGGUAUGGGAAAGAAAGGGAGAAUGUAUGUUUCUAUUUUUUUUAACAUUUUUUUUUGUUUUUUA